UGUCUUAUUCGUCUUAUAUUGAUACAUGUAUGAGAAACAUUUUGUCUGAGAAAGCCUCUAAUGACUCAUUUUACCAUAUGGAAUAAAAUGUUUUAUUAAAAUUAACAAAAGAACAAAAAGGAUUUUUGUUUCCUUCCACAUUUUAGACAAUAAUAUGGCUUUAAAAAACUGGUUUAUUUAUUCCUUUUUGAUGUUUUCAUUGAUAUAUUCAUAUAGAAAACGUAGAUGGUACAGUAUUUUGGGGGGUAGUGGAAAAGCAAUGACUUUCCAUGAAGAAGAUAUAUGUUCACAUUCACAUUUACUUUACUAGCUAUAUGACCUGGGCAAAUUAAUCUCUCUGAGCUUCAGUUUCCUCAUCUGUAAAAGAAAUAGGUUGGAUUUACUCUAAAAUCCCAUCUAGCUUUAAAUACAUGAACCCACGACUACAAAGCAUCCUCAGUGAAAUCCAAAGAUGAUAAACAUAGAGCUGAUCAUCUACAUUUGAUAAUCAUUUAUACUAUUAUAUAACAGGUAGCCUAUUAAAUUAAUGUAUCAGCAUGAGUAUCUUGAAUAAAUGGUGUGAUUAAAUAAUUUGCUGAGCCUGGGAAUGACAAAGAGAUAGAAAAGGAGCUGUAUUUUAUUUCAGAAAUUGCAUAGUUAUUCAAUGAUUCUAAACUGUUCACAGGUAAAAUUGAUACAUAUAUAUGCAUAUAUAUACAAAUAUAUAUUAUAUGAUGGUGUUAUAUGGAUGAAAAUCAUACCAAGAUCUCAGAAAAAUUAAAGUUCUACAUUAAUUCCAGGCAAUGUAAAGAUACAUUGGCAUCAAAAGACUUUAGGAUAUUACCAAUAAAGCCUUGUGGGACAUAGAUACAGGAGUCGAAAAGACAUGGUUGAGUACAAAUAUAAUUGAAAAGAUGAGCAGGUCACAUUAUUAAGAAAAAGAGACAAAAUGGGGUAUUUCUAGUGGUGAUUAGCACUCUAAAUACAUUUGAAGAGCAAAAUGAAAAUCCUUAGCACUUUGGGUAAAUACUGUAAUGGGAGAAGGGAAGGCCUGGAGGAGUUGUGAUCCUUAUAGAAAAGGUAUCUAUACCUCACAGAAAUCAUAGAUUCAUUAAAAUAGCUUUCUCAGAACCUAGUAUAGUGUUUUGCAACUAGCUCUAUGGUGGACACUCAAUAAAUGUUUAUUGAAUGGAGACUUGGCUCAGAACUCUUUUUCAUUGCUAUAUAUCCUUAUGAUCCCCUCUUACACUAAAAUUCUGAUUCUCAGCUUUUACUGACCAGCCUUAAGUAAUCUGAUGAUUUGUCUAGUCCAUGAUGUAUUUGCUUGGUAGUUUCAAUCAUGCCCAACUCUGUGACCCUAUUUGUUUGUUUUUGGCAAAGGUAAGACCAUUUGAAAUGUCUUUCUCCAGAUCAUUUUGCAGAUGAGAAAACUGAAGUAAACAGGAUUAAGUGACUUGUCCAGGCUCACAUAACUAGUAAGAUCAAGAAAUGAUCACAGAAUGAAUAAAUCAAUGAAUUAUGCUAAGAAACACAUUGUGAUUUGAUGAUAUGAUAACCUAGGCAUCAUUUAGGAUUUAAUUAAACCUCAAGGCAAAGUCAAUGUUUUCAUGUUCUCUUCCAUGUACUAUAAAGUCCUUGAGGUAAGAGAUCAUAUUUUACCUUUUUGUAGCCCAGCCAUUUAAAAUAGUACCUGUAAUAUACUAGGUACUUGAUAAAUGUUUGAUUGCUAUAAAAAUAGGAAUUCUCUCAAAUAGGGGUUUGAUUUCUAGUUUCCUACAUCAAUGCUGUACGUAACAGAUAUAUAAUUUCAUGGUAUGUUCGAUAUGGGAUCAUACCCUGAUAAUUUCAUAAGUGUUUUUUGAUGAGAAUGCUAAUAAUGUGACUUGACUGAAUUUAUUUAAAAGCAUUAUUUUCUCAGUAACCUUCCUAAAGUUUGGAAAAGGAAUGGAUACAAAGGAGUAAAAUAACUGGAAGAGGAAGGCUAAUUUCCCUUAUUAAAAUGAUGAGCAAUGGGCUCUAAAAUGCUACUUUUCCAGGAGGCAAAGAAUUAUCCUAGUAGUUGAUCAGAGACUGUGUUGCCAUAAUUUUAUUUUUUUGUGUGUAAUCAAACAAACCAUAACAAUCCAGGAUUGGAGUAGGUGACUCAUUAUUCCUGCCAAAUUUGCCAAAGUAACUUGGUUUAGGAAAACAACCACCGAUAGAUAAUUGUUCUGCAUCCUCUGGGAAACUUUCACUAGGGUUAGCUGCACCUGACAAGUCAAUUUCAUUCCUACUUUCUCUCCCCCUCCCUCCCACAUCCUUCCUCCUCCCCCAGCGCCGGGUUCUCGGGGGACAUACCCACGAUAUUUUUUCUAUUUAGGGGAGGCUUGUGAACUACCUAACUCUCUCUUUCUUUUUUCUCACUCCCACUGCAAAAUUACAAUUGUCAGCACAUGGAGACUUUGAAAAAUGAGGAGGAAGUUGUAGAAUGUAAGCUUUAAUCCCAAGACUUUCAAGAAGGGUGAAGGGAGAUCAUCAUCUAGGGGCGCGCAAGGCAUACAUUUAUUAGGACAUCAUUAAAAAAAAAACAAAAAACAAACCAAAACAAAAAAGCAACACACCGAACCCCUCCCCCCCCGUCCCCUCCCCCCCCCCCCCCCCCCUUCUUUAUAACAAGACGGUGAAAAUAAGCUCAAUAAAUGAAGAGCCAUGUGCUAGUCUUCUGAAAGGCACACGCCGGUUGCUGCCCCGGGCGGACCGAAGUCUUAGUUCCCCGCCUUCAGCUGCCUGACAUAGAGUAGGGGAGGAGCAGGAGCCGGGAGGGGGGGUGGGUGAGCGCGCACCAUCCCGAGCCAAGACAAGCAACACAUUCACAAAUAACACCCCCCACUUCCACCCCCACCCCCACGCGCUACCAUUCAAACCAGCCUCUCUCCCCAGCCGCACUGACAGUGUCCGCACCGCCACCCCGCCGGGGCGCAGCGCCAGGGCGCACGGAGCCCGAGACUUGCCCAAGCCGGAGCUGGAGUCCAGGCGGCGGCUGCGGCAGCCGCACAAGGAUUCCCAGCGCCAGCCAGGGGGAGCUGGAAGGAGCCGUCUCCGCGACACCGCGGAUCAAGAGGAAAGAGCGAGUUAGGGGGACCGGGACUCCGCUGACACUCCCCUACUUCGGCGGCCAGUCCGCCGGAGUGGAGGGCGACCAUGGCACUGGCAGUGGGGCCGCUGCGCCGGGGGAGCUUGGCCCCUAUCCUCUUGGGCACCCUGUGUCUCCUGUACAUCGCCGGACAGGUAUGUGGAGAUCAAAGCCAAGGAGCUGUGUUUUUACGGGAAUUUACACUGAUUCGAAGAGAGAGCCUUCAUGACGAUUUCCUUUCCGAUCUCCUGAACAGCCACAAAAUUGAAGAUGCGUCAUGCAUAUUCUCUUUGCAAUCAAGAAAAUCAGCAAUGUUUUGGAUCUCAGGUACUGUUGUUGAAGACUCAUGUUUUAG
Molecule: long non-coding RNA, 3446 nt
Filed under: Sarcophilus harrisii (Tasmanian devil)
Lineage: Eukaryota; Metazoa; Chordata; Mammalia; Dasyuromorphia; Dasyuridae
Description: lncRNA (ENSSHAG00000024246.1)
Source: RNAcentral